This is a microRNA precursor of Ictidomys tridecemlineatus (thirteen-lined ground squirrel), 57 nucleotides long. NCBI's taxonomy places the organism in Eukaryota, Metazoa, Chordata, Mammalia, Rodentia, Sciuridae. The record is from Ensembl.
ACAGGCACAGCUGGUUUGAGCAUUUUGACUGAAUUGCCAAACCAGGUGUGCCUGUAG